This 1616-nucleotide long non-coding RNA is filed under the name Numida meleagris (helmeted guineafowl). Its description in RNAcentral is "lncRNA (ENSNMEG00000002710.1)". Lineage: Eukaryota; Metazoa; Chordata; Aves; Galliformes; Numididae. The record is from RNAcentral.
GUGUGCAUUGUGUGUGCAAGGCAUGUCCACAAGAGUGUGCAUUGCACCUACACGUGAGCAACCAUGUGCGCACCCCUGCCUUGCACCCAUGCCCCACCACCCCCCCCGUGUUGCACGACGCCGUGCUCACACCUGUUGCACACCCACCACCAACGUGACCCCCACACUCACACUCACCACACCUCUCCUGCUGCUCUGCACGGGGAUGGGGAUGGUCCCAGUAAUGGUGACAAUCCCACUAAUGGUGAUGGUGAUAAUGGUGACAGUCCCAGUAAUGGUGACAGUGGUAACGGUGAGAGCCUCACUAAUGGUGACACAAUAAUGGUGACAAUCCCAGAAACGGUGAUGGUGGUAACGGUGACAGUCCCAGUAAUGGUGACAGUCCCAGUAAUGGUGACACAAUAAUGGUGACAAUCCCAGUAACGGUGAAGGUGAUAAUGGUGAGAGUCUCAGUAAUGGUGACAAUCCCAGUAACGGUGGCACAAUAAUGGUGACAAUCCCAGUGACGGUGAAGGUGAUAAUGGUGACAGUCCCAGUAAUGGUGACAAUCCCAGUGACGGUGACAGUGGUAAUGGUGACAGUCUCAGUAAUGGUGACACAAUAACGGUGACAGUCCCAGUAAUGGUGACAAUCCCAGUAAUGGUGACAGUCUUAGUGAUGGUGACGCAAUAAUGGUGACAACCUCAGAAAUGGUGACAAUCCCGGUAAUGGUGAAGGUGAUAACGGUGACAAUCCCAGUAAUGGUGACAAGCGCAGAAAUGGUGACAGUCCCAGUAAUGGUGACACAAUAAGGGUGACAACCUCAGAAAUGGUGACAAUCUCAGUAAUGGCGACACAAUAAUGGUGACAAUCCCAGUAAUGGUGACAGUGGUAAUGGUGACAAUCCCAGUAAUGGUGACGCAAAAUUGGUGACAGCAAUCCCAGAAACGGUGACAGCAGUGAUGGUGAUAGCGGUGACAGUGGUGAAAGUGACAAUCCCGGUGACGGUGACGAUCCUGGUGAACUUAACAAUGGGAGCGGUGAUAAUCCUGGUGACGGGGACGGGGACGGCGGGAACGGUGACAAACCCAGUAAUGGUGACAAUCCCGGUGACAGUGACAAUCCCAGUGAUGGUGACAGCCCCAGUGACGGUGACACCAGUAAUGGUGACAAACCCAGCAAUGGUGACAAUCCCAGUGAGUGACAGCCCCAGUGACGGUGACAGUGGUAAUGGUGACAAUCCCAGUGAUGGUGACAGUGACAAUCCCAGUGACAAACCUAGCAACAGUGACAAUCCCAGUGACAGUGACAAACCCAGCAGCGGUGACAAUCCCGGUGACAGUGACAGCCCCAGUGACGGUGACAGCGGUGACGGUGACAAUCCUGGUGACAGCGGCAAUCCCAGGAACGGUGACAGUGACAAUCCCAGUGAUGGUGACAGCCCCAGGGACAGUGACAGCGGUAACGGUGACAAACCCAGUGAUGGUGACAGUGACAAUCCCAGUGACAAACCUAGCAGCGGUGACAAUCCCGGUGACAGCGGCAAUCCCAGUGACGGUGACAAUCCCGGUGACGGUGACGGCAGGAACGGUGACAAACCCAGCAAUGUGACAAACCCGGUGACGGUGACGCGGUGA